RNAcentral lists this ribosomal RNA (253 nucleotides) under uncultured bacterium. Its description in RNAcentral is "partial 16S ribosomal RNA". It matches the Rfam family "Bacterial small subunit ribosomal RNA", at positions 524 to 776 of the family's 1533-position model. The record is from RNAcentral.
UACGUAGGGCGCAAGCGUUGUCCGGAAUUAUUGGGCGUAAAGAGCUCGUAGGCGGCUUGUCACGUCGGGUGUGAAAGCCCGGGGCUUAACCCCGGGCCUGCAGUGGAUACGGGCUGGCUGGAGGCAGGCAGGGGAGAACGGAAUUCCUGGUGUAGCGGUGAAAUGCGCAGAUAUCAGGAGGAACACCGGUGGCGAAGGCGGUUCUCUGGGCCUGUUCUGACGCUGAGGAGCGAAAGCGUGGGGAGCGAACAGG